UACGUAGGGUGCAAGCGUUAAUCGGAAUUACUGGGCGUAAAGCGUGCGCAGGCGGUUUUGUAAGACAGGUGUGAAAUCCCCGGGCUUAACCUGGGAACUGCAUUUGUGACUGCAUAGCUAGAGUACGGUAGAGGGGGAUGGAAUUCCGCGUGUAGCAGUGAAAUGCGUAGAUAUGCGGAGGAACACCGAUGGCGAAGGCAAUCCCCUGGACCUGUACUGACGCUCAUGCACGAAAGCGUGGGGAGCAAACAGG
Molecule: ribosomal RNA, 253 nt
Filed under: uncultured bacterium
Lineage: Bacteria
Description: partial 16S ribosomal RNA
Rfam family: Bacterial small subunit ribosomal RNA
Source: RNAcentral